UACGGAGGGGGCUAGCGUUGUUCGGAAUUACUGGGCGUAAAGCGCACGUAGGCGGAUAUUUAAGUCAGGGGGUGAAAUCCCAGAGCUCAACUCUGGAACUGCCUUUGAUACUGGGUAUCUGGAGUAUGGAAGAGGUGAGUGGAAUUCCGAGUGUAGAGGUGAAAUUCGUAGAUAUUCGGAGGAACACCAGUGGCGAAGGCGGCUCACUGGUCCAUUACUGACGCUGAGUGCGGAAAGCGUGG
Molecule: ribosomal RNA, 242 nt
Filed under: uncultured bacterium
Lineage: Bacteria
Description: partial 16S ribosomal RNA
Rfam family: Bacterial small subunit ribosomal RNA
Source: RNAcentral